Molecule: long non-coding RNA, 501 nt
Organism: Pipra filicauda (Wire-tailed manakin)
Lineage: Eukaryota; Metazoa; Chordata; Aves; Passeriformes; Pipridae
Exons: 4
Source: RefSeq, a predicted model, not a curated record
GGGCUUAAGAUGAUUUCAGAGCUCACAGACAUUUCCAUACAGAUUGAGAUCAGGAAUGCCAAAUCUGAGUGUGGAGAGAAUUGCUCUUGCCAAGUUACACAACAUGGAAAAUAAACCCUUGUAACAGAAGCACUCCUAGGAGCUGCUGCAUGGCUAGGGGUGCUGUAGCAGCAUCCUGCAGGCAGGGUCCUGCUUUUCCCAAGAUAUGUAAAAGCUUGUUAACACAAGAAUGCAAGGACAAAUCUUCAGCAAGGAAGGAAUAAUUGAAGAUGCUAAAUCUUCAGCAGAUGAUCAUCACAUUCCAAAAGUGAGUUGUUCUUAAACACAAAUGGCCACAAGGAUGGAUGUCAGGAGGAGCAAAUUCCAGUGCUUCCAUGAGCAUUCCUGCUUCUUAGUGUUUCAAGACCAAACAAGGCUUAGGUGAAGGUACCUCCCUGCCUCUCCAGCCUCUUCACAGCUUUGAAACAAUAACAAAAGAAAAAGAUUAUGUCUGGCUCAAAA